CCGUAUUCGUACCAAAGAAGGUGUCUAUGAGAUUUUGCUCAAGGCACUACCAGAGACCUCUCAGGGACAUACUCAUCUCCUUUUGAGCCUUUCAGAAAUGGAGAAUUCAUGUGGCAACUUAUAGUUGUUGAUAUAUUGAAGUCUCGUUUGAAAACUAAGGUUGGAUGGGAGAGAGGAAAUAUUGUACUUGAUGCCACAGUCAAAUAUGAACAGAAUUUCAUUCGUGAGCUGGAUGGUACUCUUGAGACACCAUGGGAAGACUUGGAAAAGUCCAGCCAUACGUCUUGUGGGUAAACCCCAGGAAGGCGGUUACAGAAUAACCUGGUACUUGAGGGAGCAGGACAGACCUACAAUGGAAAUCUCUUCUGGAAAUAUCGGAGCGAAAGUGAUUGGGAAGUUGACAUCGAGGUAGAACGAGAACAAGGCAGUGGUGAAGGACGUUACACUGUCAACCUAGCCCUGACAAAUGUUCUUAACAAGCCAUUUAAGCUAGCAGCCCACCUCACCACACCUCAUGAAGGAUUCAAGGAAAUCACUUUUGAAAUGAAUAUACGACGUUUCCGAGCUCCGUAUUACUUGAAAGUUGGAUGGGGAACGGCACAGGAGUCACGUAGUGUGGACAUCGAGUUCAGGAAGCUGUCGAUCAGUGAGGUGCAGGGUGUGUUUUUGUUUAACUUCAAUGAUGACCAGGGAACUAAGAAUUACUUCACUCUUGACCUUGAUGUGAUAAACCAUUCAACAGAUGAUAAAAUUGAUGUCUCAUUGACUGCAAGAUGCCAAGAGUAAUAACGAUUAUCUUGACCAUGUGGUGAUGAAAGCAACUGUUCGACAAGUAACAGUGGAUCCAGGAGAACUUGGUUUGUACCUGCUUUGGCCUGGUGCUGAUCCAAUCUCCUUCAAGGCUAUUGCUGAAC
Molecule: long non-coding RNA, 914 nt
Organism: Macrobrachium nipponense
Lineage: Eukaryota; Metazoa; Arthropoda; Malacostraca; Decapoda; Palaemonidae
Exons: 6
Source: RefSeq, a predicted model, not a curated record